RNAcentral lists this ribosomal RNA (407 nucleotides) under uncultured bacterium. Its description in RNAcentral is "bacterial SSU rRNA". It matches the Rfam family "Bacterial small subunit ribosomal RNA", at positions 354 to 773 of the family's 1533-position model. The record is from RNAcentral.
GUGGGGAAUAUUGGACAAUGGGCGAAAGCCUGAUCCAGCAACGCCGCGUGAGGGAUGACGGCCUUCGGGUUGUAAACCUCUUUCAGCACAGACGAAGCGAAAGUGACGGUAGGCGCAGAAGAAGCACCGGCUAACUACGUGCCAGCAGCCGCGGUAAUACGUAGGGUGCAAGCGUUGUCCGGAAUUAUUGGGCGUAAAGAGCUCGUAGGCGGUUUGUCGCGUCUGCUGUGAAAACUCGGGGCUUAACCCCGGGCCUGCAGUGGGUACGGGCAGACUAGAGUGCGGUAGGGGAGACUGGGAUUCCUGGUGUAGCGGUGAAAUGCGCAGAUAUCAGGAGGAACACCGGUGGCGAAGGCGGGUCUCUGGGCCGUAACUGACGCUGAGGAGCGAAAGCGUGGGGAGCGAAC